Talpa occidentalis (Iberian mole) is the source of this 2219-nucleotide long non-coding RNA. RefSeq lists it as uncharacterized. The record is from RefSeq and is a predicted model, not a curated record. The transcript has 13 exons. Lineage: Eukaryota; Metazoa; Chordata; Mammalia; Eulipotyphla; Talpidae.
GCGCCUGCGCGUUGCGCUGCAAUGGCUUGUCUCUGAGCUUCUGGAGACGCUUCGGGGUGACGUAGACGAUUCCCAGGCAACCGAAUGACUCUUGGUGAAAUAGUGGCACGCUCUACCCGUGACCCUUCCUGUGCUCGGGUCACGACCUGUCUGCGAAAAAACCCUAAAUUUAGCCUGGUGUAAUAUACAUCCCAAGUGCUGGACUCUUCUUGUCGACUUAGUCUCUCUGAGAUGUGAAGACUGAUAAAUGGUAACUUUGAAGGAAAGAGUCGUGGAAUCAUGGAACCCUCACGUGGCCUUUGGUUCAAAGGUUCCUAAACUUGCCUUCUUUGAGAUAUGCAGAGAAGACAGACAGAGGAUAAACCACUUGCUUAAAGUUAGGCAGUAAAAGGUUUUUAUGUAUUAGAGACACUGGAGUCAUCCCAGAUGGCAGCUUCAGGUAGAGUUCUCCUGGUAAGACUGAGAAACAAGGAGAGAGGGGGACUUUUUCAAGCUCAUAUCCUGGCACUGAGGAUUCUCCCCGCCUCCACCCUGGAGAGCUGGUCGGUUGGCCAGAGUUUCUCAUCAAGGAGUACAUGCUGUUUGCUCCCCAGAUGGACAGCCUGGAUGAGCUACAAAUCCACAGAGCCUGGGACACAAGAAAAUCUAAUAUUCAUCCAAGUGCUCCAAGUAGAAGACCCAACCUCAGAUGGGAUACUGGGUUGGGUUGAGGACACCAGAGGACUAGAGAAGCAGUAACAAACUGGAGUGACCCAGGGUACAAGGACAAGAAUGCCUCCAGAGGAAGAAGUUGAAGAGGAAGGGCAGCAAAAUGAUUGAAGAAUAAGUCUGGCUUCCUAUCCUCACCAGCUGCCAGCUUGGAGAAGCUGGAAAAGCAAGAGGAAGGUUCACAGGUCCAGGAUAGUGUCUGGUCACAGAGGAGUUAACUCAGGUCUGAAAUGCUCAGGAUUCUGAAAAAGUCAUGCUGGACUGGAGUUGAAGACCAUAAGGUGAAAUUGUUAAAGACAGCGGAGACAGACUAUGAUGUUAUAUUUUAUUGUUGUGUGAAAGGAAGAAAGGAUGACAGAUCAUUUGUCAGUCUGGCUUGGAUGAUCUUGGACUCAGAGUUCUGUAAGCCAUGGCCUAUGUACAAAAUAGCACAGCCUAUGGGCUCCUCGAGCCUGGAAGAGGUUGACCUUCCCUUUUACUGACCCAGAGGACCCCCGACCCUCCUGCAAGUUUGCUGCUGACCACUGUGUGUGCCCCUCAGCCAGCACUGACCCUCAGGGAGCAGGAGCUGGAAAGGAAGCUGAUCUCAGUUGUCCUACAACUCAUAAUCAUUUGAAGGAGAAGCCUGAGAAAACAUGGGAACAGGUUGGAGCACAUGCUGUGGUUUCGACAAUGCUUCUGGUGGUCCAGAGCACCCUUUCCUGAGGUGGGCCUGCAGUGACACCUGCCUGUCUAAUAAUCCAGUGACUCACUCUGUCCUGUGGAAGACACAUUGCUAGCUGUGACACUUAGGCAUUUAUCCCAAGCUACCUUUUCCAGUCUUCACCUGGUAAAGCAUGGAGGAGAGAGUAUGGAGGCUUCUGAAAAAGGUCAUGAACUCCCUCGAAUAGCUGAUGGGCCUGUGAGCACUGAGCCUCUCUCUCAAGCUUUUGUAUAGUACCUGGUGUUGCACCGGACCCUACCAUUCCUCUGCACUACUCCACUGUGAUUGCCCAUUUCCUUGUGUCUAGAGUUUUCUGAUUAUAAUGGAGGUCUUGAGGGUCAGGGACUGCCUUUGCCCAGAUCACCAUGCAACUUCCCUUGCUUAGCUCUGUAGCUGGCAGAGAAUAGGUAUUCAACAUUCACUGAAUAAAUGAAAAUCACAAAACUUUCCCCUACCUCUUAAAUAUUCCCCUGUCCUCAAGCUUAUGCAUACAAUGUUAGAGUCUUUUCGAGGAGCUCAGUGUCGGGACUUCUAUUUCAAGUGUUCAUCAAAAAUAAAGCAGGAAAAUUGUGAUGCCAAAUACCAAAGCAGCCUUUCUUCACCACAGACCAGAAAGAUGUGCACAUUGUUAGUCUCAAGAGAGGAAGGUCAAAGGAAAAAGUGUGAAGCGAACCUUUGUCCAAGUGCCUCAUUUUACCUUAGAUGACAAGGAGACCCAGGCUUUGUUCAAGGUCACAUUAUUAGUGGCAGAGGAAACCUGAACCUUCCAGCUUCCAGCCCAGUGCUCACCAAAAAACCCUCACCUUCC